RNAcentral lists this unclassified non-coding RNA (175 nucleotides) under rhizosphere metagenome. Its description in RNAcentral is "partial ribosomal RNA internal transcribed spacer region". The record is from RNAcentral.
GUAGGUGAACCUGCGGAAGGAUCAUUAGAGAGCCUCCGGGCAUUAUGGAUCAGAGACAUGUGAACCGCUCGGCUCGCCUCCGGGCCUGCCUUGCCGCCCUCGGGCUUCAAACUCGGUGUGACGAACGUAAUCAUGGGAAUAAACACAACUUUCAACAAUGGAUCUCUUGGCUCUC